AUGCGCCGCUUAAAAGGGAGGAGUCGAGCUGGUUGGAUGUCCAUAGAGAGGAGCACUCCUGAAGGUAUCAACAUGGAGGAACAUGCUUCGAGGUUUCAGCCUUUGCCCCUACCCAGAUUUACGGGUGACUUUGACCGGGCUACCGUCGGAAUUCCAGUUGUAAUGCGAAAGAGGAAGCCUCCGGAGGUGAGGAACGCGCUCCGCGAAAGAAGAGUCGCGACCAAACAAAAGGACGCACGCUACCAUGCGGAGGUGGCCUUGCGUAAAUACAACAGAGACAACAACACCAAGUUUGAGCUGGUGGAGGUAAAAGUGAUAUCUAUAUUUUACGAGUUUGGAGGGGCCGGCGCCCAUUAUAACUUCACAGCUAAGCAGCCUGAGAACCAACAUUCUGCUGAUGCUGACAGUACCAAGCUAUUCUUCUCUGAAGUCCACCUCAAUUUUCGCUUUUCGGAGUGA
This 459-nucleotide ribosomal RNA is filed under the name Triticum aestivum (bread wheat). RNAcentral's name for it is "partial small subunit ribosomal RNA". The record is from RNAcentral. Lineage: Eukaryota; Viridiplantae; Streptophyta; Magnoliopsida; Poales; Poaceae.